This is a long non-coding RNA of Myripristis murdjan (pinecone soldierfish), 486 nucleotides long. RefSeq lists it as uncharacterized. NCBI's taxonomy places the organism in Eukaryota, Metazoa, Chordata, Actinopteri, Holocentriformes, Holocentridae. The transcript has 3 exons. The record is from RefSeq and is a predicted model, not a curated record.
AGAAUGCACAAUUAGGACCCUGGUUGUUACACCUGCAUGGAAAUGUCAUUAGUAACACCUGUGUUUAACUGCUGUGGAAAAGGUCUAUUAGUCUGUUAGUGUCUGGACACACCGCCACAAAAUCGCUACUGAGAAAUUCGGUCAAAGAUAAAACCUGGAUCCAGGACCAGCAGGACAGAACAAAGUUCCGGAAAACCCAGAGCCAAGCGGCUGGUGUCUCCGCGGACUGACCUGGACCUUGCGGCCCCACAGAUACCACACUGCGGCGGUGAAUGUGCAGACAGCCACCGUACAAGACUUGAUGCAGCGACGGAGUGUUACUGCCCUCCUCCGGUUACUGUAAAUGUCAAGCUGACCUUCAUGUUUUCAUUCAUACUAACUCUAAACCCCCCCUGUGGAUCAACGCCGGUGGCUCAAUCAGUCAAUUAUCCACGUGAGAAAAUGCAUAAACACCAAUACACCACUAUACCAAUAAUAAAAACUCUU